This 722-nucleotide ribosomal RNA is filed under the name uncultured Fusobacterium sp. RNAcentral describes it as "bacterial SSU rRNA". It matches the Rfam family "Bacterial small subunit ribosomal RNA", at positions 28 to 776 of the family's 1533-position model. The record is from RNAcentral. Lineage: Bacteria; Fusobacteriati; Fusobacteriota; Fusobacteriia; Fusobacteriales; Fusobacteriaceae.
GAUGAACGCUGACAGAAUGCUUAACACAUGCAAGUCAUCUUGAACUUCGGUUUGGGUGGCGGACGGGUGAGUAACGCGUAAAGAACUUGCCUCACAGAUAGGGACAACAUUUGGAAACGAAUGCUAAUACCUGAUAUUAUGAUUUUAGGGCAUCCUAGAAUUAUGAAAGCUAUAUGCGCUGUGAGAGAGCUUUGCGUCCCAUUAGCUAGUUGGAGAGGUAACGGCUCACCAAGGCGAUGAUGGGUAGCCGGCCUGAGAGGGUGAUCGGCCACAAGGGGACUGAGACACGGCCCUUACUCCUACGGGAGGCAGCAGUGGGGAAUAUUGGACAAUGGACCAAGAGUCUGAUCCAGCAAUUCUGUGUGCACGAUGAAGUUUUUCGGAAUGUAAAGUGCUUUCAGUUGGGAAGAAAAAAAUGACGGUACCAACAGAAGAAGUGACGGCUAAAUACGUGCCAGCAGCCGCGGUAAUACGUAUGUCACAAGCGUUAUCCGGAUUUAUUGGGCGUAAAGCGCGUCUAGGUGGUUAUGUAAGUCUGAUGUGAAAAUGCAGGGCUCAACUCUGUAUUGCGUUGGAAACUGUGUAACUAGAGUACUGGAGAGGUAAGCGGAACUACAAGUGUAGAGGUGAAAUUCGUAGAUAUUUGUAGGAAUGCCGAUGGGGAAGCCAGCUUACUGGACAGAUACUGACGCUGAAGCGCGAAAGCGUGGGUAGCAAACAGG